This 2900-nucleotide ribosomal RNA is filed under the name Clostridioides difficile. Its description in RNAcentral is "23S ribosomal RNA". It matches the Rfam family "Bacterial large subunit ribosomal RNA". Lineage: Bacteria; Bacillati; Bacillota; Clostridia; Peptostreptococcales; Peptostreptococcaceae. The record is from RNAcentral.
UGGUCAAGUUAUUAAGGGUGCAGGGCGGAUGCCUUGGCACUAGGAGCCGAUGAAGGACGUGAUAAGCUGCGAUAAGCUUCGGGGAGUUGCACGUAAACUUUGAUCCGAAGAUUUCCGAAUGAGGAAACUCACUUAGAGUAAUGUCUAAGUAUCAUUAAGUGAAUACAUAGCUUAAUGAGGGGAACUCAGGGAACUGAAACAUCUAAGUACCUGAAGGAAGAGAAAGAAAUUCGAUUCCGUAAGUAGCGGCGAGCGAACGCGGAUUAGCCCAAACCAAUAAAGUUUUCUUUAUUGGGGUUGCGGACAUAUCAUAACAAAGAGGUAUCGUAAUUGAAGAGGUUUGGAAAGACCCACCACAGAAGGUAAUAGUCCUGUAUGUUAAACGAGAAGACUUUAGAUAUGAUCCAGAGUACCACGGGACACGUGAAACCCUGUGGGAAGCAGGAGGGACCACCCUCCAAGGCUAAAUACUACCUAGUGACCGAUAGUGUAUAGUACCGUGAGGGAAAGGUGAAAAGAACCCCGGGAGGGGAGUGAAAUAGAACCUGAAACCCUGCACUUACAAGCUGUGGAAGCACAUUUCUUGUGUGACCGCGUACUUUUUGUAGAACGGGCCAACGAGUUACGUUAAGUAGCAAGGUUAAGCACUUGAGGUGCGGAGCCGUAGCGAAAGCGAGUUUUAACUGAGCGUUCAGUUACUUGACGUAGACCCGAAACCGGGCGACCUACCCAUGAGCAGGAUGAAGCGAAAGUAAAAUUUCGUGGAGGUCCGAACCCACGAGCGUUGAAAAGCUCGGGGAUGACUUGUGGGUAGCGGUGAAAUUCCAAUCGAGCCCGGAGAUAGCUGGUUCUCCCCGAAAUAGCUUUAGGGCUAGCCUCAAGGUGAGAGAUACGGAGGUAGAGCACUGAAUGUCCUAGGGGGUAUUGCACCUACCGAAGACUAUCAAACUCCGAAUGCCGUCAUCUUAUACUUGGGAGUCAGACUGUGGGUGAUAAGAUUCAUAGUCGAAAGGGCAACAGCCCAGAUCGUCAGCUAAGGUCCCUAAAUGUAAGUUAAGUGGUAAAGGAUGUGGGAUUGCACAGACAACCAGGAUGUUGGCUUAGAAGCAGCCACUCAUUCAAAGAGUGCGUAAUAGCUCACUGGUCGAGUGAUCCUGCGCCGAAGAUUUCCGGGGCUAAAACUUACUACCGAAGCUACGGCAUCAGUAAUGAUGGGUAGGGGAGCUUCCCAUACGGGUUGAAGCAUGACCGUAAGGACAUGUGGACAGUAUGGGAGUGAGAAUGUUGGCAUGAGUAGCGAGAUGUGGGUGAGAAUCCCACAGGCCGUAAACCCAAGGUUUCCAGGGGAAGGUUCGUCCGCCCUGGGUUAGUCGGGACCUAAGCUGAGGCCGAAAGGCGUAGGUGAUGGACAACAGGUUGAUAUUCCUGUACUACCGAUAACCGUUUGAGAGAAGGGAUGACACAGUAGGAUAAGCUAAGCACACUGUUGGUUAUGUGUGCCCAAGCAUUGAGGCAGUCAAAGUAGGCAAAUCCGCUUUGAUAAUGCUGGGAUGUGAUGGGGAGCGAAAUUUAGUAGCGAAGUAGCUGAUUUCACACUGUCAAGAAAAGUCUCUAUCGAGGUUAAAGGUACCCGUACCGCAAACCGACACAGGUGGGUGAGGAGAGUAUCCUAAGGCCAGCGAGAGAACUGUUGUUAAGGAACUCGGCAAAAUGACCCCGUAACUUAGGGAUAAGGGGUGCCACCAUCAGGUGGCCGCAGAGAAUAGGCCCAAGCGACUGUUUACCAAAAACAUAGGUUUCUGCUAAGUCGCAAGACGAUGUAUAGGAGCUGACGCCUGCCCGGUGCUGGAAGGUUAAGGGGAUCUGUUAGAGCAAUCGAAGCAGUGAACUUAAGCCCCAGUAAACGGCGGCCGUAACUAUAACGGUCCUAAGGUAGCGAAAUUCCUUGUCGGGUAAGUUCCGACCCGCACGAAAGGCGUAACGAUUUGGGCACUGUCUCAACAACAGACUCGGUGAAAUUGUAAUUCCGGUGAAGAUGCCGGAUACCUGCGACAGGACGGAAAGACCCCAUGGAGCUUUACUGUAGCUUGACAUUGGGUCUUGGUACUACAUGUACAGGAUAGGUGGGAGGCUUUGAAACCAGGACGCCAGUUUUGGCGGAGCCAUCCUUGGGAUACCACCCUUGUAGUACUGGGACUCUAACCAUAGGCCAUGAAUCUGGUCUUGGGACACUGUCAGGUGGGCAGUUUGACUGGGGCGGUCGCCUCCCAAAAGGUAACGGAGGCGCUCAAAGGUUCUCUCAGUACGGUCGGAAAUCGUACGUAGAGUGUAAAGGCAAAAGAGAGCUUGAUUGCAAGACAUACAGGUCGAGCAAGGAUGAAAAUCGGACUUAGUGAUCCGGUGGUUCUGCGUGGAAGGGCCAUCGCUCAACGGAUAAAAGCUACCCUGGGGAUAACAGGCUUAUCUCCCCCAAGAGUCCACAUCGACGGGGAGGUUUGGCACCUCGAUGUCGGCUCAUCACAUCCUGGGGCUGUAGUAGGUCCCAAGGGUUGGGCUGUUCGCCCAUUAAAGUGGUACGCGAGCUGGGUUCAGAACGUCGUGAGACAGUUCGGUCCCUAUCCGUCGCAGGCGUAGGAAAUUUGAGAAGACCUGUCCUUAGUACGAGAGGACCGGGAUGGACGUACCUCUGGUGUACCAGUUGUCCUGCCAAGGGCAUGGCUGGGUAGCUAUGUACGGAAUGGAUAAGCGCUGAAAGCAUCUAAGCGCGAAGCCAACUUCAAGAUAAGAUUUCCCACCGCAAGGGUAAGACCCCAGAAAGACUAUCUGGUUGAUAGGUCGAAGGUGUAAGUGCAGCAAUGUAUUUAGCUUAUCGAUACUAAUAGGUCGAGGACUUGACCAAU